RNAcentral lists this unclassified non-coding RNA (876 nucleotides) under Hevea brasiliensis (rubber tree). The record is from RNAcentral. Lineage: Eukaryota; Viridiplantae; Streptophyta; Magnoliopsida; Malpighiales; Euphorbiaceae.
UCUAUAUAAAUGCAUGAGAAAUAUGGUGUUUUAUUGCCUAUAUGAUAGUAGCACUCUAUUCUCAAUCCACAAAAACAGAAAAACAAAGCAUAGGCAACUUGAGCAGAGUAUUCUUUAGUUUAUAGACAUAAUCCAUUUUAUGACCAAAUUAAUGAAAUAAUUUAAUUGACAAAAUCAAAAUCAAAAUCAAAAUAAAAUAAGUCUUAAUUAAUAACUUAAAUUUCACAUAGAUCAAGCUUGACCCUAACUCAUUUAACAAGUUCUAAAAUAUCAAUGAGUUUUGCUUGCAGAUUUAUGUGAACAAAUUUAAAUGAUCUUUUAUAUUUUGAGCUAAACAAUACACAAAUCAUGAACAAUAAAAAAACCAUUUUACACCCUAGUUAGAACUUAGGACAAAUUAAUCUUAAUAUAUGUUAUCAUAAUAAUUACAACAACAAGAAGGCAUCGUAAUAAUGGCAUCAAAGUUGACUCUUUAAUAUUAUGUUCCUGACUAGCUCUAUUGAGCACCAUCCUUCUGAGAGUUGAAUUAAUAGCACUAAAUUUUUUCAAGAAUGGAUUUCUAAAAAUAUGCUAAAACCCAAUUGUGUUGUACUCAUUGCUUCCAAAGAACAUAGGCUCUAUCAUCUUGGACCACAAUACAGCAUCCAUCCAUCUUUGUUUCUUGCUGUUGAUUGCCUCUUUUUUUCAUUAUUAUUUUUUUUGGUGUGAGUUGAACAGCCAUAAUUUAAGUAAAAUCAGAGCAAUCAUCCUCAUAUACAUCAUUUAUUUUGGGAAAGUGUGAUAGUGGAGACCAUAGGCAACAUUCUAAGUAUAGCUCUAUAAUGUUUCACCAUAAUCAAGUAGCUUGGCUUAUUGUCUGAAUAUUUUGUUUCUUUC